AACGAACGUUAGCGGCGCGCUUAACACAUGCAAGUCGAGCGAUAAAUCCUUCGGGAUGGAAAGCGGCGCACGGGUGAGUAACACGUAGAUAAUCUACCCUCGAGUGGUGGAUAACGUUCC
This 120-nucleotide ribosomal RNA is filed under the name uncultured bacterium. Its description in RNAcentral is "partial 16S ribosomal RNA". It matches the Rfam family "Bacterial small subunit ribosomal RNA", at positions 29 to 152 of the family's 1533-position model. The record is from RNAcentral.